AUGGUCGUGUGCGACUUCGACCUGAACUUCACCUUCAUUUCUUGUGGCUGGGAGGGAUCUUCUACCGAUGCUAAAGUUCUCUGGUCAGCACUUAAUAGUGGGUUUCAUGUACCUCCGGGCAAGUUUUAUCUGGUUGAUGGUGGUUAUGCCAACACACCUUACUUCUUGGCACCGUAUCGUGGUGUUCGGUACCAUCUGAAGGAGUUUGCACACGGUCGCCGUCGACCCCAAAAUCACAGGGAGCUAUUCAAUCUCCGGCAUGCCGUGUUACGAAAUCACGUCGAACGGGGAUUAGGAAUCUUGAAGAAGCAGUUCCCAAUCCUAAAAGUGGGCACGCAUCAUCGAAUAGAGAACCAAGUCAAGCUACCAGCAGCGGCGGCAAUCUUACAUAACAUCAUCCGAUCUGAAAAAGGAGAUGAGCGUUGGUUAGAUAACCAACCAAACAAUAUACCUGUCAUGAAUUUUUUUGAUCUUCCUGACGGUGAUAUUCCUCAAAAUCAUCAAAUCAACCAUGAAGGCGACAACCUUAGAGAUGCCAUUGCUCAUCAAAUGUGGGCUGAUUAUCGACAUGCAUAA
RNAcentral lists this ribosomal RNA (576 nucleotides) under Triticum aestivum (bread wheat). Its description in RNAcentral is "partial small subunit ribosomal RNA". Lineage: Eukaryota; Viridiplantae; Streptophyta; Magnoliopsida; Poales; Poaceae. The record is from RNAcentral.